RNAcentral lists this long non-coding RNA (340 nucleotides) under Mytilus galloprovincialis (Mediterranean mussel). The record is from RNAcentral. Lineage: Eukaryota; Metazoa; Mollusca; Bivalvia; Mytilida; Mytilidae.
AAAUUUCAAAUGUUGGGUUUACUGAGAAGUAACAAAAGGAAUCACAUUUUUUUUCUAGCGGUUAGUUAAGAAAUCAUUCAUGCAGGUUUAUUAAAUUUGUUUUACAUUUAUCGAACAGUGGGUAAAAUAGAACAGCCACACACACGGUAUACCCAUCAUCGCUUCAGUUUUUUAAUGAUCGUAUUUGUCCUAUUAGAAUCGAAAUAAUUCAUGGAAGCCAUAGAUUUGUUGUAAAUUUACACAUGGCCUGGGCCGUGAUAUUCGUUAAUUUUAUCCCUCGCUAACGCUCAGGAUAAAAUUCGAAUAUCACGGCCCAGGCCAUGUGUAAAUUUCCAACAAA